Molecule: ribosomal RNA, 576 nt
Filed under: uncultured bacterium
Lineage: Bacteria
Description: bacterial SSU rRNA
Rfam family: Bacterial small subunit ribosomal RNA
Source: RNAcentral
ACGGGUGAGUAAUACAUCGGAACGUAUCCUGGAGCGGGGGAUGGCCCGGCGAAAGCCGGAUUAAUACCGCAUACGCUCUGAGGAGGAAAGCGGGGGACCUUCGGGCCUCGCGCUCAAGGGGCGGCCGAUGGCGGAUUAGGUAGUUGGUGGGGUAAAGGCCUACCAAGCCGACGAUCCGUAGCUGGUCUGAGAGGACGACCAGCCACACUGGGACUGAGACACGGCCCAGACUCCUACGGGAGGCAGCAGUGGGGAAUUUUGGACAAUGGGGGCAACCCUGAUCCAGCAAUGCCGCGUGUGUGAAGAAGGCCUUCGGGUUGUAAAGCACUUUUGUCCGGAAAGAAAUCAUCGGGGCCAAUACCCCUGGUGGAUGACGGUACCGGAAGAAUAAGCACCGGCUAACUACGUGCCAGCAGCCGCGGUAAUACGUAGGGUGCGAGCGUUAAUCGGAAUUACUGGGCGUAAAGCGUGCGCAGGCGGUGCUGUAAGACCGAUGUGAAAUCCCCGGGCUUAACCUGGGAACUGCAUUGGUGACUGCAGCGCUGGAGUAUGGCAGAGGGGGGUGGAAUUCCACGU